CGCUGGCGGCAGGCCUAACACAUGCAAGUCNNNGCGGANACAGGCAAGGNAGCUUGCUACUUUCGCUGUCGAGCGGCGGACGGGUGAGUAAUGCCUAGAUAUCUGCCUAGUCGUGGGGGAUAACAGUUGGAAACGACUGCUAAUACCGCAUACGCCCUACGGGGGAAAGGAGGGGACCUUCGGGCCUUUCGCGAUUAGAUGAGUCUAGGUGGGAUUAGCUAGUAGGUGAGGUAAUGGCUCACCUAGGCGACGAUCCCUAGCUGGNCUGAGAGGAUGAUCAGCCACNCUGGANCUGAGACACGGUCCAGACUCCUACGGGAGGCAGCAGUGGGGAAUAUUGCACAAUGGGCGAAAGCCUGAUGCAGCCAUGCCGCGUGUGUGAAGAAGGCCUUCGGGUUGUAAAGCACUUUCAGCGAGGAGGAAAGGUUGGUGGUUAAUAACCAUUAGCUGUGGACGUUACUCGCAGAAGAAGCACCGGG
RNAcentral lists this ribosomal RNA (479 nucleotides) under gamma proteobacterium Kwat1. Its description in RNAcentral is "bacterial SSU rRNA". It matches the Rfam family "Bacterial small subunit ribosomal RNA", at positions 34 to 497 of the family's 1533-position model. The record is from RNAcentral. Lineage: Bacteria; Pseudomonadati; Pseudomonadota; Gammaproteobacteria.